RNAcentral lists this ribosomal RNA (253 nucleotides) under uncultured bacterium. Its description in RNAcentral is "partial 16S ribosomal RNA". It matches the Rfam family "Bacterial small subunit ribosomal RNA", at positions 524 to 776 of the family's 1533-position model. The record is from RNAcentral.
UACGGGGGGGGCAAGCGUUAUCCGGAUUCACUGGGUUUAAAGGGUGCGUAGGCGGGCAGGUAAGUCAGUGGUGAAAUCUCCAAGCUUAACUUGGAAACUGCCGUUGAUACUAUCUGUCUUGAAUACUGUGGAGGUGAGCGGAAUAUGUCAUGUAGCGGUGAAAUGCUUAGAUAUGACAUAGAACACCAAUUGCGAAGGCAGCUCACUACACAGCCAUUGACGCUGAGGCACGAAAGCGUGGGGAGCAAACAGG